Molecule: long non-coding RNA, 2219 nt
Filed under: Homo sapiens (human)
Lineage: Eukaryota; Metazoa; Chordata; Mammalia; Primates; Hominidae
Description: DENND3 antisense RNA 1, transcript variant 3 (DENND3-AS1)
Source: RNAcentral
CCCUUCCUUCGGCCCCGCCCAGCCCCGCCGGCCGCCCGCUCCCUGGGGAACCGAGGGAGGAAUGGGCGGGGUCCUCAGGUGCCCGGCGACGUCAUCCAGCCCCCAAGGCUCCAGGACGCAAAGGGUCCCCUGAUCUGGCAGUCCCUGGACCUACCCUGGAGAGCGUGGGGGGACAAAGGCCGGACGCGCCGCCCGCUGCCGCCUCCAGGAAGCCCUCCCUUGCCAGGACAGUGGAGUUGGCCGGGUGUGGACAGCAGGAAGGGCCGGCGGGAAGGGGGGGUGGAAAGAGCCACUCCUGGUUAAUAACUCUGCGGGGUUAACCUAGGGCCGGCCAUACUCAAGUACGGACUUGAGUAAAAUUCAGCAGGAAAAGGAGCAGGGUGGGCGCCGCUAGAGGGAGGCUUCAGGACUGAGGGUCAGAGGCCCAAGGCCUGGCAGGGCCCUUCCCUGGUCAGCUCCAGGCUUGGCCUGAUGCCCGGUGGGCCACGGGCCUCUUCCAGCCUCAGGCUGACCCCAGAGAAAGAGGACAGCCCACAAGCCCGGGAGGCCGGCUUGCUGCCUGGUCAUUGCUGCAGAGCCUGGAGGGGGCCUGCGCUCAGUCCCCGCUGACCGUCCCCUCCCUUGACCCUGCCAUAGCCAUCUGUGUAACCCAGGGGAAAUUAUUCCAAAGGGACUUCCACUUCUGAUAAUCUAUGAUUCUAUUUUCUAAAAAACAAAACUCUAAAAUGCUUAAUGUCAAACAUCUGUCAUCAGCUGAACAGGAAAAGGAACAGUCCUUCCAAAGUGCCUACGGAAAGCUUUGUCCCAUCCUUGAAAAAUUGCUAAUGGGUUUGGAGAUACGAGGUGGAGAUGACUAGCAAUCAAACUCAAAGGUGGAAGUCACAUCGAGGCAGAUGAGCAGAUGAGGGGACCUAGAGAAGAAGAGAGGUGCAAGGAGAGCCCAGCCAGCAGGAACAUCUGCCCCAGUAGGCAGCACUGCCCCACAUCAGAGUCGAGGAAAGCAAAGCUCGGAUUGGAUAAAAGAAACUUGCAAACACGGAUGAAGGGAAAAGCUUCAUGACAUUGGAUUUGGCAGUGAUUCCUUGGAUAUGACCCCAAAAGCACAGAUAACGAAAGAAAAAAUAGUUAAAUUGUCUUCAUCAAAAUUAAAACUUUUGUACAUCAAAGAACUCUUUCAAAAGAGUGAAAAAGUCACAGAAUAAGAGAAAAUCAUAUACCUGAUAAAGAAUUAAUAUUCAGAGCCAGAUGCAGUGGCUCAUGCCUGUAAUCCCAGCACUUUGGGAGGCCAAGGCAGGCAGAUCACUUGAGAUCAGGAGUUCGAGACAAGCCUGGCUAAAAUGGUGAAACCCCAGCUCUACUAAAAAUACAAAAAUUAGCCAGGCGUGGUGGCGUGCACCUGGAAUCCCAGCUAUUCGGGAGGCUGAGGCAGGAGAAUCGCUUGAACUCAGAAGGCAGAGGUUGCAGUGAGCCAAGAUCACACCACUGCACUCCAGCCUGGGCGACAAAGUGAGACUCCAUCUCAAAAAAACAAAACAAAACAAAACAAAACAAAGAGUUACUAUUCAGAAUAUAUUAAGAAUUCCUACAACUCAACAACAAAAAAAAAUCCAACCCAAUUAAAAAAUGGGCAACAGACCCAAAUAGACAUUUCUUAGAAGACACACAAAUGGCCAAUAAGCUCAUGAAAACAUGUUUAACAUCACUAAUCAUUAGGGAAAUGCAAAUCAAAGCUAAAAUGAGAUACCACGUCACACUCAUUAGGUGUUAUUUUUUAAAAAUAACACAACAACAAAAAAUAAGAAAUGUGGGCGAGGAUGUGAAGAAAUUGAAACCCUUGUGGACUGUUGUUGGGGAUGUAAAAUGGCGCAGCUGCUGGGGAAAACAGUAUGGGAGUUCCUCACAAAACUAAACAGAAUUGCCAAACGACCCAGCGAUCCUGCCUCUGACAUAUACUGGAAAGAACUGAAAUAAGGCGCUGGAACAGACACUUGUAACCCAUGUUCACAGCUGAGCCAAAAGGUGGGAGUAACCCAAAUGUCCAUCAGUGGAUGAAUACUGGCAAUAAAAGCUGUGUCUGGAGGCCACUCCGUUUCACACAGCUCUCCACACGGGUGAGGGCACAGCCUUCUCGUCUCUUUCCUAUGCUGCAUCUUCAGAGCUAGCUAUGAUAUGAUAUGAUGUGAUAUGUACAUAUCGAAUAUACAUGUUUUACAUGCAAA